Molecule: ribosomal RNA, 493 nt
Filed under: uncultured bacterium
Lineage: Bacteria
Description: SSU rRNA
Rfam family: Bacterial small subunit ribosomal RNA
Source: RNAcentral
AGGACGAACGCUGGCGGCGUGCUUAACACAUGCAAGUGGAGCGACGAACCAGGGCUUGCCCUGGGGCAGGGCCGCGAACGGGUGAGUAACACGUGGGUUACCUGCCUCGAUGACCGGGACAACCCGAGGAAACUCGGGCUAAUACCGGAUGUGCCCGCAAGGGGAAAGGAAGCUUCGGCCUCCGCAUUGAGAUGGGCCCGCGGCCCAUUAGCUUGUUGGUGAGGUAACGGCUCACCAAGGCUUCGAUGGGUAGCUGGUCUGAGAGGACGAUCAGCCACACUGGGACUGAGACACGGCCCAGACUCCUACGGGAGGCAGCAGUGGGGAAUCUUGCGCAAUGCGCGAAAGCGUGACGCAGCAACGCCGCGUGGGGGAAGAAGGCUUUCGGGUUGUAAACCCCUUUCAGUUGGGACGAAGCUUCUCCGGUGAAUAGCCGGAUGGAGUGACGGUACCUUCACAAGAAGCGACCGGCUAACUACGUGCCAGCAGCCGC